GACAAAACCUGUUGUCAUUAAGGCUAUUGUUGAGAGUGUUACAGAGAACAAAUUCUCCUUUGAGAUUGGAAAAUUAUGACUUUAAAGAAAGAAAGAAGGUUUGCAUUUUCCAAAUAUAAUGGCAUCAGUUACACUACUCUCCUUACUAUAUUAUGGCUCUGGCUGGUGCUUAGUGUAUACACAACAAAAGCGACAGAGAACACAACUGCACCUACAUUGACUACAACUCUAACAAGUACAAUUCAGGAACCAAAAACUAUAAAGGAAACAACACCCGUUCCAACAGUGCAAGCCACUAAAACACCAACAGAUUUUACCACUACAACUAUAUACAUAACAGAAACAACAACAACAACAGCACCUACAACAGCAAAAACAACAUCACUGACAACUACUACUACUCCACCAAUUACAACUCAGGAACCAACCACUACAAAGGAAACAACCUCAGCUGGAAUUGUACAAUCGACCACAAAAUCAACAUCAGAAUUGACCACUACAACAGUAUACACAACACAAAGUCAAACAACCACAGCACCAACAACAGCAGAAACAACUGCACCCUCAACUACUACAACUCCGAAAAGUACAAUUCAGGAAGCAACAACUAUAAAGGAAACAACAACCGUUCCAACUGUGCCAUCCACUACAACAUCAACAGAUUUUACCACUACAUCUAUAUACAUAACAGAAACAACAACAACAACAACAGCACCUACAACAGCAGAAACAACAUCAUUGACAACUACUACCACUCCACCAAGUACAACUAAGGAACCAACCACUACAGA
This is a long non-coding RNA of Pangasianodon hypophthalmus (striped catfish), 791 nucleotides long. RefSeq lists it as uncharacterized. Lineage: Eukaryota; Metazoa; Chordata; Actinopteri; Siluriformes; Pangasiidae. The record is from RefSeq and is a predicted model, not a curated record. The transcript has 3 exons.